Non-coding RNA from Felis catus (domestic cat), 85 nucleotides. The record is from Rfam. Lineage: Eukaryota; Metazoa; Chordata; Mammalia; Carnivora; Felidae.
GCCUGGGUGGCUCAGUCGGUUAAGUAUCAGACUUCUGCUCAGGUCAUGAUCUCCUGGUUUGUGGGUUUGAGCCCCACGUCAGGCU